CACAUUAUAGUUCCACAUUUCUAGCCUGUGAUGGGGCCUGCCAAAGUAUCACAUUUUCAGCCUGUGGCGGGGCCUGCACAUUAUAGUUCCACAUUUCUAGCCUGUGAGGGGGCCUACCAAAGUACCACAUUUUCUUCAGCCUGUGACGGGGCCUGCCAUAAUAACAAGAUAAACCCAAAGUCCCUUUUCAUACAGUCCAGUUUACAUCCACACAUCCAUUUUCUUUUAUUUAUUUCCGUCUAUAAACUAACCACAGUCACGUUUCCAGCCCGUGACAGGGCAACCAAUAUCAUAUGGUUAGUUUAGAGCACCACAUCCAUCAGUCAAAUUUUGCAGGUGUAGGUUAUGCGCAUGCAUGCAUCUAUCAUUAUACCAAUCACAAGCAAAGACGAUCAAAAUACAAUUUAAAUAUAAAAACCAUUUUGUUUUGCCUGGAUCAUAACAUAUCAAACAUAUAUA
This 459-nucleotide long non-coding RNA is filed under the name Phoenix dactylifera (date palm). RNAcentral describes it as "long non-coding RNA (PDAC_LNC016475)". Lineage: Eukaryota; Viridiplantae; Streptophyta; Magnoliopsida; Arecales; Arecaceae. The record is from RNAcentral.